CUUUCCCAUAGAUUGUGAUACACUCAUGAGUUAGGCCUAGGUCAAUGAUAAUUAUUGCAGCAUGUUCUUUACCUAUAGCUUUCCCACGCAUACCCCCCUGCUUAGGUUGUUAUUCGUUUUCCUGAGUUAGGCCUAGGUCAAAAAAGGUCAAUGAUAAUUAUUGAUGCAUGUUCAUUCCUAUAGCUUUUCCCGUUGUUACCCCCUUAAAAUCCGGUUCCUGUGCGUUCCACACGCACAUAUACGAACCUGUCUAUAAAAGCAAGCACUUCGAUAGUUGGAAAAUCAGCUGGAAAAUAGUUGAAAAAAGAGUCGAAUAGUUCGAAGGGCUCGAAAGAAUUUCCUGACUCUAUCCUUCAAAACUUCCGGACACCAUGGAUUUCUUAGCAGGUAAGAUGUAUUUUAAAAAAUUAAAAUAGUUAAUUAUAAAAUAAAAUACAAUGUUUAUGUAAUUAUCCAUUUGAUAUUGAUAUAAAUCUAAAACUAAUCUUUGAGUACAACAAUCAUCAUCCUUAUCUGGUCAUUAUGUAAUCGGGUACGAUACUUUAUCUAAAAUUUAAUGUUCAAUACACUUAUAUUACAGAGCAAGACCAAACUAAGCUCGUCUGAUUCUAGUGUAUAGGAUAACGUAUCAAACGAAUGCGAGUCUACUAGACAACAGCGUCGUGAUUAUUUCUAACGGUGAAUUUUCCAAGACAUCUGAUCGAGGCCUUUUGAAUCUGAGCUCUACUCGUAAGUCAUAACAUUAAAUUAUGAAUGUUUCAUGCUGUAAAGUAGUAGGUAAUUAAAAUUUGUCUCUUAGAUCUGUGUAGCGAGCUAAAAGGGGGACUGUUAAGUUACUAAUAAUAUAUUUAUUUGCUUUACUGUUUUUAGACAACUGCUUUGUGAAUAUUUCUGAUGAUGAGAUUCCCAAAACAACCGCUCAAGAUCUUUUGAAUCUGAGCUCCACACAAGUUGAGGGCGUCUUGACUAUCAGUGCUUACGACGGAGAUAUUUCAGAUACGAGUGAUGUCGAAAAUUUUGAUGCAGUAGACGAGCGAGAGGAAUUCAAGUCGGAAGCCGACAUUCAACCCGACCUUGAAUUACU
This is a long non-coding RNA of Ictalurus furcatus (blue catfish), 1084 nucleotides long. RefSeq lists it as uncharacterized. NCBI's taxonomy places the organism in Eukaryota, Metazoa, Chordata, Actinopteri, Siluriformes, Ictaluridae. The transcript is spliced from 4 exons. The record is from RefSeq and is a predicted model, not a curated record.